This 253-nucleotide ribosomal RNA is filed under the name uncultured bacterium. Its description in RNAcentral is "partial 16S ribosomal RNA". It matches the Rfam family "Bacterial small subunit ribosomal RNA", at positions 524 to 776 of the family's 1533-position model. The record is from RNAcentral.
UACAGAGGUGGCAAGCGUUGUUCGGAAUUACUGGGCGUAAAGGGCGAGUAGGUGGCCAUCUAAGUCAGACGUGAAAUCCCCCGGCUUAACCUGGGAACUGCGUCUGAUACUGGACGGCUUGAGUAUGGGAGAGGAACGUAGAAUUCCAGGUGUAGCGGUGAAAUGCGUAGAUAUCUGGAGGGAUACCGGUGGCGAAGGCGGCGUUCUGGACCAUUACUGACACUGAAUCGCGAAAGCUAGGGGAGCAAACGGG